CCCGGAGCCUCGAGCUCCCGGCGGCCGGCGCUGCAGAUCUGGGGGGGCAGCUAGUUGUCCCCCGAGAGCCCACCCCCGGCUCUCCCGCGGCCCAGGUGCCGCCGCGCCCCGCCCCUCGCCCCGCCCAGCGCUCGGGGAGUCCCGCUUCCGGGCGCCUCUGGUGGCCAAGGGGGCGCUGCGGCACUGAAUGUGAGCACGAGGGAAGGGGCUGGCUAACCUCCCCCAAGGAGACUGGCGGAGCCCCUCAUCACGCCCAGAGGAUCCCUCCGUGCCCAGGAUCGGCCGGUCGCCCCCCCUCACCCCAAAGUAAGCAAGGGUGCACUUUCCAGAGAGAACAACUUUGGCAAUAGGACCAAAGGGGUGCAGGACGCUAGAGACUCAGCCAGGAUGCAGGCACUCUGUGACACCAUCCAGACAAACGCAGGAGCCAGAUGACCUGGAAGGAUAAAGCUAGGAGUGUAUCCAUGCCUCGUCCAUCCACCUUCCAUAGAGUACACCGGACUAGGAUUGCCCCGAGCAAGUCAGCCACGGAAUUCACAGUUGACACAACAGAAGAGGAGCCAGGUGGCAUCUGGCUGCAGCUACCUGUCCCGGAAGUGCCUGGUGGUGGUCAAGUUCCAGCAUUUUCAAUUAAUCUUGGAAUGGUCGCUGGAGGCAAGAAGCCAGCGGCGCCUAAAGGAAUGAGAAAGUGCAAACUGAUCCAGAGGAAACAAAGGGCAGCGAGGGACCCCACAGCUGAGGCAGACGACACUGUGAGCUCUGUCGGGAGGCUGGCGAGGCGUGCGCGCGGGUCUCUGCCUUAGCACCAUCUGCCUAUUCCUCAAGAGGACACAGAACAGACCAGCGAGCCAUGAAGAUUCGAUUAUGUAACGCGGGAGGAUUGCUUGUUUUCAAAAGGGAGACAAAUGGGAACGAAUUGAUUUGUUUGUCAAAGUCAUGGCCCCGAAAGGAGACCAGUCCCCUCCUCUUCCUGGAGGAUUCAUCAAGGAGGGGAGUGAUUUCACAGGCUCAGAAAAAAGGAGCCCAGGACUCACAGAGUCAGCUCAGAUGGUAACAGCAGCUCCUGGGCCGCAACGCGGUGAGCCACAUGGUAGAAGAAAAGAACCAACUUCAGCUAACAGUCCUCUGACCUCCAUAAGGGCACAUACCCACCCGCCGCGAAAUAAAUCCAUGCAAAACCAUAAUUCA
Molecule: long non-coding RNA, 1188 nt
Filed under: Mus spicilegus (steppe mouse)
Lineage: Eukaryota; Metazoa; Chordata; Mammalia; Rodentia; Muridae
Description: lncRNA (ENSMSIG00000010674.1)
Source: RNAcentral